This 74-nucleotide transfer RNA is filed under the name Lysobacter sp. RNAcentral's name for it is "tRNA-Cys". It matches the Rfam family "tRNA". From Rfam's summary of the family: Transfer RNA (tRNA) molecules are approximately 80 nucleotides in length. Their secondary structure includes four short double-helical elements and three loops (D, anti-codon, and T loops). Further hydrogen bonds mediate the characteristic L-shaped molecular structure. tRNAs have two regions of fundamental functional importance: the anti-codon, which is responsible for specific mRNA codon recognition, and the 3' end, to which the tRNAs corresponding amino acid is attached (by aminoacyl-tRNA synthetases). tRNAs cope with the degeneracy of the genetic code in two manners: having more than one tRNA (with a specific anti-codon) for a particular amino acid; and 'wobble' base-pairing, i.e. permitting non-standard base-pairing at the 3rd anti-codon position. RNAcentral also lists the same sequence under 9 other names. Lineage: Bacteria; Pseudomonadati; Pseudomonadota; Gammaproteobacteria; Lysobacterales; Lysobacteraceae. The record is from RNAcentral.
GGCCUGGUGGCAGAGUGGUCAUGUAGCGGCCUGCAAAGCCGCGUACGCCGGUUCGAUUCCGACCCAGGCCUCCA